AGGCUACAGUACGGCCUCGAAUGUGUGUAAAUACAUGCAUUUUAUAUAACAACUAAAUAUGUGUGUUUGUACAAUUUUAAGUAUAAUGGAGGACAUUUCUAAAACGUAUAAUAUACUAGUAUACAUCAAACCUUCCUCUUAAUUUAGCAACAUUUAAACAUCCUUAUACUUAAUGUAGUAAGUCGAGUACACCCUAUCAAGCU
RNAcentral lists this long non-coding RNA (203 nucleotides) under Mytilus galloprovincialis (Mediterranean mussel). The record is from RNAcentral. Lineage: Eukaryota; Metazoa; Mollusca; Bivalvia; Mytilida; Mytilidae.